GGCUUAGAGUUUGAUCAUGGCUCAGGACGAACGCUGGCGGCGCGCCUAACACAUGCAAGUCGAACGGAGUUGAGAGGAGCUUGCUUUUCUUGACUUAGUGGCGAACGGGUGAGUAACGCGUGAGGAACCUGCCUCAGAGAGGGGGACAACAGUUGGAAACGACUGCUAAUACCGCAUAAGCCCACGGUCUCGCAUGGGACAGAGGGAAAAGGAGCAAUCCGCUUUGAGAUGGCCUCGCGUCCGAUUAGCUAGUUGGUGAGGUAACGGCCCACCAAGGCGACAAUCGGUAGCCGGACUGAGAGGUUGAACGGCCACAUUGGGACUGAGACACGGCCCAGACUCCUACGGGAGGCAGCAGUGGGGAAUAUUGCACAAUGGGGGAAACCCUGAUGCAGCGACGCCGCGUGGAGGAAGAAGGUCUUCGGAUUGUAAACUCCUGUUGUUGGGGAAAAAGAGGAUGGUACCCAACAAGGAAGUGACGGCUAACUACGUGCCAGCAGCCGCGGUAAAACGUAGGUCACGAGCGUUGUCCGGAAUUACUGGGUGUAAAGGGAGCGCAGGCGGGUAUGCAAGUUGGGAGUGAAAUACAUGGGCUCAACCCAUGAACUGCUCUCAAAACUGUGUAUCUUGAGUAGUGCAGAGGUAGGCG
This 649-nucleotide ribosomal RNA is filed under the name uncultured organism. RNAcentral describes it as "bacterial SSU rRNA". It matches the Rfam family "Bacterial small subunit ribosomal RNA", at positions 1 to 663 of the family's 1533-position model. The record is from RNAcentral.